GUAUUACACAGAAAAAUGAUUUGAACAAAAUAAUUUCCCCUCUAACACUGGUACAAUGCUCACUUGGAGAGAAGGAAGGGAGAUAUGUUGCGCUGCAGUCACUCUCACUUUGGAUCUGGUGUUUUGGUAAAGUGUGAGUGUGGUGAGAAAGAGAGAGGUGGGAAAUUGGCCACAGAUGUGACAGGUGAGGCAGGGUUACACAAGAAUUCACAAGAGUUACAAGAGUUCACAGGAGUACACAAGGGUUACACAAGAGGAGUCUCUCCUCCUCGACUCGGAAGAUAUGGAAAGGUGGAACUUGCUGGCUGGGGAGUCCUGGCUGGGCCAGGAACACUCCUGGUGGGUGAAGGUCUGUGGCUGCCCAGGAGCUGUUGUAACACGGGAUGCUCCCCACAGACACCAGGGUCAGUUCUGCCAGGACAAUCUGCUAAAAGAGCUGUGACCACUGGUGAGCCCUGCGAGGGCAGCACGUGUCAGUGUUUUGGUGCUCCUACCCCACCUGCCCUCCAAACAAGUGUGCUUCAUUUUUAAUGGUGCCUGCCUCUGAAACCAGCUCUGCCUGUCACAGCUUUCCUUUCCCUGGCUAGGGGCCAGUUUCCAUCACUGAGGUAUGGAACACCUUUCCAAAACCACUGGAAACACCUGAGUGUUACAGGAGCUCUUCCCGCUCUGUCUGAUUCUUUGCAAACCGUUACCAAACCCUCAGUGGUAUUGAUGUUGACAAUAGAGAUGCGGGUUUCCAUGCAGGGUGUUUGCCGAGGCCUGUCUCCCCUUUCCCCCUCGGACCAUCCCUGCCGAGUUGGGCAGCAGCGCAAAGGGGCUCGGAGAUGGUCUGGGCGGAGUGUCCAGCGGGUAUCGGAGGCGACCCGGCCGGCCGACACUCAGUGGCACUUUCAGACUUGCUGGCCCAGCUGAGGGACCCCUCAGGUGACACUGGCACAGCGGCAGGACGCCAGUCAUCACCCCUGGAGACCAGCAGCGGCUCUCUGGGCGCUCCCUGCCCUGGCAGUGCCGCUCCCCUGGCCCGGGCAGGGUGUGCUGCAGGAGCUGCGGCAGUGCGGGAACAACCGCCGUGCCCAGGGCUGCUCCUCAGCCCUGCCCAGGGGUCCCUUGGCCCGUGCCCAGGGCUGCUCCUCAGCCCUGCCCAGGGUCCCUUGGCCCGUGCCCAGGGCUGCUCCUCAGCCCUGCCCAGGGUCCCUUGGCCCGUGCCCAGGGCUGCUCCUCAGCCCUGCCCAGGGUCCCUUGGCCCGUGCCCAGGGCUGCCUUCAGCCCUGCCCAGGGUCCCUUGGCCUGUGCCCAGGGCUGCUCCUCAGCCCUGCCCAGGGGUCCCUUGGCCCGUGCCCAGCCACACCAGCAGUGACGGGCCACCUUGGCCAGCUCAGCGGCCCCUGCCCCAGCCGGAGCAUUGGGAGCAGGGCAGGGUCCAGCCCCGCUCCGUGUCUGGGCACCCACCGACAGUGAUGGGAACAGAAGGGCACAGCCCAAACCCCAAAGCGUCCUCAUCCCUGCGAUGCAGGAGGGCAGUGCUGCCUCCUGCCUCAUCACCCUCUGGCUGCUCAUUGUGUCUGGGUGAGCAGCAGUGCCCAAAGGCACCAGGCAGUUUGUCACCUGUGCUCGAGAGGGGCCUUCAGCCCUUGGGAAAAACACGGAUAAACUGCUGAAACUCAAUGGCCGAGCCUGGCUCUAGCUUAUCCUCAUGUGAAACCAGCACACACUGACAGGGAGCACUGCAAACCUGGGCAGAAACAAGCUGGCCACAUUCCAGAUCAUAAUUGGUCACAUUUAGAAAAGGUCACAUUUAUAUUUUUAAAAUGUGUUUACUUUGUUUGUAUUUAUUUUGUUCCUUUUAAAAUUGUCGUUGUUUUUCCCAGCCCCUUUGUAUUUUGUGUUCUGAGACCGACACUGACACUUUCAUGACAAAGUUUCAGGACAAAUUCUCCUUCAGAGCUGUCAGAUGCCUGCAAAUGCCAGGCUGAAAUCAGUACAGGUACUCUGCACAGACACAUCUCUGCAAUACAGCCCUUUAUUUCACAAUGCCCAUCUCACCAGUACCAAUGGAAACAUCAGGUUGGUACCUCAUGUUAAAUUUAUCAGAUCUUAAAUUCAUUAGAUGUAGAAUUCAUCAAAUCACUACAGAUGGUCUCAAAACACCAGAGACACCGGGCCAAUUAGCAGAUUAAAGGUGUCCAUGUUGGAUACAUCUGUACUGUUUUAAACAGAAAAAAAAAAAAAAAAAGGAAAUAAUUUGGGAUACCUUUACUUCUUUUAGCUGAAACCUAGGGGCCUAGGUCUCAUCUUCCAGUUAUUAGUUAUUUUAAAUUUUCUUUUUUUUUUUUUUUUUUGCAAUGCAGACCAUGAUCCAGCAGAACACUUCAGAACAUGCUUUAUUUUAAGAUUCUGGAUAAUUGCUGUGAAGUUGUAAUUUGGGACAUAGGAGUGCCCUUUUGAAUUAAGAUCCAAACUUUUACUCCCAAACAUAUACACAGUAUCCAGCAUCAGAAUUUGGUGAAUUGAGUUAAUAAGGAGGAAAUUCAUCUUUUGAAGUGUUUUGUGACAUUUCAUGCAAAGUUCUGCACUGACAAUGACUCAACCACAUAUUUUGCAGCUGUUCAUAGAGAACCUCCAUGCCUGAGGGACAGAUCCGGGCUGGGGCAGACCAGAAACACCCAGAUCAUCUGCAGAGAGGUUCAAUGCACAAAACUUCCUCUUUCCCUUCCCACGGAGCCUGGAGAGGUCUGUUCCAAGACACAUUUACAAACUCUCCAUCCUUGGCCAGAGACCAACUCUAGUGUUGAUGACGGAGAAAUAAAUAAAUAGAUUUGGUGUCCCUGUGGUGAAGAAAAUCUCUUCUUGGUGGCACAGAA
RNAcentral lists this long non-coding RNA (2864 nucleotides) under Taeniopygia guttata (zebra finch). Its description in RNAcentral is "lncRNA (ENSTGUG00000019465.1)". The record is from RNAcentral. Lineage: Eukaryota; Metazoa; Chordata; Aves; Passeriformes; Estrildidae.